Molecule: ribosomal RNA, 750 nt
Filed under: uncultured bacterium
Lineage: Bacteria
Description: bacterial SSU rRNA
Rfam family: Bacterial small subunit ribosomal RNA
Source: RNAcentral
CAGGCCUAACACAUGCAAGUCGAGCGGACCAUUCCUUCGGGGAUGGUUAGCGGCGGACGGGUGAGUAACACGUAGGCAACCUGCCUGUAAGAUCGGGAUAACUACCGGAAACGGUAGCUAAGACCGGAUAGCUGGUUUCUCCGCAUGGGGGAAUCAUGAAACACGGGGCAACCUGUGGCUAACGGAUGGGCCUGCGGCGCAUUAGCUAGUUGGUGGGGUAAUGGCCCACCAAGGCGACGAUGCGUAGCCGACCUGAGAGGGUGAUCGGCCACACUGGGACUGAGACACGGCCCAGACUCCUACGGGAGGCAGCAGUAGGGAAUCUUCCGCAAUGGGCGCAAGCCUGACGGAGCAACGCCGCGUGAGUGAUGAAGGUUUUCGGAUCGUAAAGCUCUGUUGCCAAGGAAGAACGCCUCGGAGAGUAACUGCUCUGAGGGUGACGGUACUUGAGAAGAAAGCCCCGGCUAACUACGUGCCAGCAGCCGCGGUAAUACGUAGGGGGCAAGCGUUGUCCGGAAUUAUUGGGCGUAAAGCGCGCGCAGGCGGUCUUUUAAGUUUGGUGUUUAAGCCCGGGGCUCAACCCCGGUUCGCACUGAAAACUGGGAGACUUGAGUGCAGGAGAGGAAAGCGGAAUUCCACGUGUAGCGGUGAAAUGCGUAGAGAUGUGGAGGAACACCAGUGGCGAAGGCGGCUUUCUGGACUGUAACUGACGCUGAGGCGCGAAAGCGUGGGGAGCAAACAGGAUUAGAU